This 64-nucleotide transfer RNA is filed under the name Serratia symbiotica str. Tucson. It matches the Rfam family "tRNA", at positions 1 to 62 of the family's 71-position model. From Rfam's summary of the family: Transfer RNA (tRNA) molecules are approximately 80 nucleotides in length. RNAcentral also lists the same sequence under 2 other names. Lineage: Bacteria; Pseudomonadati; Pseudomonadota; Gammaproteobacteria; Enterobacterales; Yersiniaceae. The record is from Rfam by way of RNAcentral.
GCGGGAAUAGCUCAGUUGGUAGAGCACGACCUUGCCAAGGUCGGGGUCGCGAGUUCGAGUCUCG